This 86-nucleotide transfer RNA is filed under the name Phycisphaerae bacterium. RNAcentral describes it as "tRNA-Leu". It matches the Rfam family "tRNA". From Rfam's summary of the family: Transfer RNA (tRNA) molecules are approximately 80 nucleotides in length. Their secondary structure includes four short double-helical elements and three loops (D, anti-codon, and T loops). Further hydrogen bonds mediate the characteristic L-shaped molecular structure. tRNAs have two regions of fundamental functional importance: the anti-codon, which is responsible for specific mRNA codon recognition, and the 3' end, to which the tRNAs corresponding amino acid is attached (by aminoacyl-tRNA synthetases). tRNAs cope with the degeneracy of the genetic code in two manners: having more than one tRNA (with a specific anti-codon) for a particular amino acid; and 'wobble' base-pairing, i.e. permitting non-standard base-pairing at the 3rd anti-codon position. Lineage: Bacteria; Pseudomonadati; Planctomycetota; Phycisphaerae. The record is from RNAcentral.
GGGCUCGUGGCGGAAUUGGCAGACGCAGCGGACUUAAAAUCCGCGGAGGGUAAAACCUCGUGGGGGUUCGACUCCCCCCGAGCCCA